RNAcentral lists this long non-coding RNA (5845 nucleotides) under Sus scrofa (pig). RNAcentral describes it as "lncRNA (ENSSSCG00050015823.1)". Lineage: Eukaryota; Metazoa; Chordata; Mammalia; Artiodactyla; Suidae. The record is from RNAcentral.
GUCUUUUUGCCUUUUCUAGGGCCGCUCCCAGGCUAGGGGCUGAAUCGGAGCUGUAGCCACUGGCCUACACCACAGCCACAGCAACUCAGGAUCCGAGCCACGUCUGCAACCUACAUCACAGCUCACAGCAACGCCGGAUUCUCAACCCACUGAGCAAGGCCAGGGAUCGAACCCGCAACCUCAUGGUUCCUAGUCGGAUUCAUUAACCACUGCGCCACAACGAGAACUCCGAAGCAUUUUUUACGUCGCCACGUUUCCAGGAUCGAUGGAGACUAAAACUCAGGCUGCUUGAGGACCACAAAAAAGUAGCACACAACCCAAGCCAGGCUUAUUAGAAAGCAGCCUGACUAGCUAGCAGACUGGUCAAGAGUUCCCUCUGCCAGCAGUCAGGACCCUGGGAGUCAGUUAGCAUGGUAUAAACCUAGCUACUUCCAGUCCUUCCCCAUCUAACUCUUUAGUUAACUGCAGAAACAAGUGUGCAACUUUAUAAAUAUUCACAAAGCUAAAUUCAUCACUCAUGGGGUUCACAUUUUAUCUGCUUUUUCUGUUACUAAUUAUCAAUUUGCCUAUUUCUCAUAUAAUGUUAUAAUUACCUAUCGUAAAUAUUUAAUUCUUCUCAUUUUUGCUCAACUGAGCAAUAUAAAAUUGAUCCACAUCUAAGUGCAUUGAUUUUUCUUCUGUCAUGUCCACUCAGUUGUUAAACUCAUCCGAGGACUCACUCCAGGAUUCUGUUUUAAUAGAGAACACGUAUUUGCCAUCGGAUAACAUAUUCUGAGGCCAGCCUGCUCUACUGUACUGUUCUAAUCUCCAGUUACAGUUUCGAGCCCCGCAGUCUAGAGUCCUCUGUGAAACCACUGCCGCAUGUUCUGUGCAGAUGUGACACAGGUCAGACCACAACAUGACUUUCGUGUUCGCUCCGGAAGGACACUUGGCAGAGGAGUCUCACUGUCCCCUCGAAAGCCCCUCCUGUUGGAAGGUGACACACUUGCCAUCAUCACUGCCUUCCUCUGGGUCUAAAUGAGACCCCAGUGUGUGACCAGCAGCCCGUUCCCACGGUAAGGCUUUCGCAAAGGGGCUUAGUCCCUUGUGUUACAGCAGCCCGGAUGCGCGAAAGCAAGGAUUACCCCACAGGUACUGAAAACUAGGAUUACUAGCAUCUUCCCCAGGAGACCGUGUCUUUGAUGUCAGCAAAUACAUCCUGGCCGUCCGAGCGCCGCCACUGCACAGCCUCUUCCACAGCCCUGGGUGGUGUCCACUGACUACCGGCCGGACAGAAGUCUCCCUGCUCUGAGCAUCUUAAAAACACGGUCAGUCAGUGCCCUCGCGUCCGCUCGUCCUUAUUCAGCACAGGUUAUGUAUUUAUUAGUCUGUACCAUAGAAGGUGCUAGGGCGGCUACCAAUAAAGCUGGAAGGGGGCCUUGCACACACCACUCAUCCUCAGGACAGCCAGGGUCCUUAUCUGCCAAAUGAGGAGGCGAACUGUGUGAUCUUUAUAGCUGACCCUGCUCUGGUGACUCGGAGACACAGCAGUUCACCUUCUCAAAGAAAGACCCCAGCUGUACAGAAGCAGAGUCUGAGCAGUCCCUUCUGUUCCUACCGGGUCUACUUAGAAAACAGAAUAGACUUUCUAGUCAUAGGACCCGUGCUCUAAUUUGGGCCAUUCGUGUUCCCCCCCCAGGAAUGUGGAAUUUACUCGGAAAAACAGUAGGUUCUGAUUUCUCGGCAGCACAAUCCUGGCGACAGUGAAGACCCACGAGGUGGCUGGGGGCCUCUACACUAAGGAUUGGCUUUUUCAAUUCCCCCAAUCCCACCAAAAAGCCUUCCCCGUACUAUUGCUCGGUCUGCUUUUUUGCUUGUAUUAGCUGUGGAGACUUCUGGAUGCAACGCCAACAACAGCAGACGUUGCUUCCGUGAUCGUCUUUCCUCUGAUGACCGUUUCUAUCUGUGAAUCUGGCUGGGUCACGGUGGCCUCUACCGCCUGUGCACACACCGAAUGAAGGAAAUCCUAGGUGUGCAGGAGGUACCACAGCCUCCUUAGAGCAGCCUCAUCACGCCCACCCCAACUUUCCAAAGAAUGCUUGGCAAUAUGGGAGGCUAUUGAAUUUUCCAUCAAAUAUGGGAUGAAGAUUUUAGUAAUUUUAUAUAAACUUCAAAGGACAGAAUGUCCUGAAAGGCUGAAGUUUUGGUGAUCUUCCAGGGCAGUGGUCUCCUGAUUAUAUAAUAAACUGGACACAUUCCUGAAAUCAACUGCAUUUUUACACAAUGCUUUUUGGAGUGAUAGCUCUUCUAACCCCAGUAACUUAUAAUGAUCAUUUUCUUCCACCCUAAUGUCUUUGGUUGUAUAUUUUUUUCUAGCAGAGUUCAUCUUAGAAAUCAUUUUUUUUUUAAUUUUGCUCUAUUUUUUAGUGUAACUAUACCUCCGGAAACAAGAAUGCAUGUUUCCACGUUUCUAAAAAGGACACUUCGGGAAACUCUCAGGCAUUAUUGGUAAGUAGACGUAAUUUUAACUAGUCAGCUAGAGAACAAGCAUAAAGACUUAGAGAAAACAAGUUGUGUUAACACCUUGUUUGGAAAACUUCAAAUUCUAACACGCAUAUGACGGAGGAAGGGUCAAAUAAAACACGUAAGCAGUAACAGUCAAACAAACAAACAGAAAUCUUUAGCCCAAAGGGACAAGUGCCACCAAUAGAAGCUGUUUUUUCUAGGCUUCAUUACCUCAUGUGUCUUAUAAAGAAUCCAUGUCUCAUUCAAAUCUAAUUCUACCUCUUCUCUAGAAGAAGUGAAUAAUUUUCACAAAGCAAUGCUGGCAAUCAGGAGACGCUGAAGUUCUUUCAAAGAGAGUAUUGGGAGGAUGGAAGGGACUCGGACGUACAGGUCAACCUGGAGGCAGCGUUUUUUCCCAGUGGGCGGAAUAAACCUAAUUAAAUGCGUGGAGACAGCAGGAGUCUGAGGGAGCUCGAGGGCGAUGCAGACAGGGUGGACUGUCUCAUGCGGCAGGAGCGUGCAUCACAAAAGACAUCUGGGGACUGGACCCCUGACUAGAGGCUGACCUAGCCUCCCUGACGCGCACGGCAAGCCUCUGAAACAGCACGGGUCGGAGGUCAGUGAGCUGCAGCCGAACCUGGGCAGUGGUUCCUCGCCUGGAACAGUUCCGGCUUGCUAUGCUAAGUCUCUCCAAUGCUAAAAGAACAGAAAGGAACUCAGAGAGAUCUGCUGUGACUACCAGGGGACACUUCCACACCCUCGCUAGGCCCACACUGCAAUGUCCUUUGUAGGAGGUGUUUCCAGCGGAUCCUUCUCCUUCUCCCUCGCAGUCGAGUCAACAAAUUUUAUUCGACUGUACAAAUAAAGAAAUGUCAUAAAGUCCUUACAAUCUACCACCAAGGCCAUUAAGAGUUUUCUUCUCCGACCCUGGAGAAAAUCCUUCUCAGCCGCAGGGGUUCUGUCCGGGUUGCACAGUGAGUGGGAAUCACUGCCGAGGCGUUUACUAACAACCAAAAUUCGUGGAGUUCCGAACUUCAGUCUGCUUUAGAUUUGCUGCAUUACACUGGGAAACGCCUCUGCGCCUCUCUCUUCCGGCUCCUUCGCCACUAAAACGGCGUUCAGAACAGCCCUCACCUGUCUGCCUUCCAGGGAUGCUGUGAAGACAAACUCACAUCCUUCGUCAAGCCCGCAGCUAACAGAAGUCUCAGUAGUUACUGUAUUAAUAACCGUGACGGCAGCGAGGAGACGUGAUCCUGCUGUGGGGAUUAUAAUUUAUUGGCCUGGGAACUCGGCUCGCAGCCCGCGAUGACCGACGACAGACCUCUACGAGGAGCUGAAGUGUUCACCGGGCACCUUCUUUGGAGACGCCUGUGCCUUUGGCUUCUCCGCUGAGGUUAGAAACAUGUGUCCGCAUGUGGGAAGGUGGGGAGACAGUUUCUUCUCUCUCUCGGUUUCACACUUUAUAACAAACGAUGGUAGGUCCUGCUUGCAUCCACACACACUACAGUUUUAAGGACUGAAUAGACGGGUCACUUUAUUUUUUUAUUCUUUGUCUUUGAAAUGUUGACAGAAAAGGGAAUGGGCGGCACACAGGACUGACCCGCCCCGUCCGCAAAGAGGUGGCCACCUACCUGGCAGGAUGUGCCGAGGGCUAGAGCACAGCAGCUUUCCUGGCCGUGCCCCCUGGUGUGAGAUGUUCAGGAUUCAGUCUUCAGGGACGGAGGCACCGCGGCCUGUGAGAGGCUGACGCGGAGCUGGACCAGCGGCUGGGAGGCCGGGAUGAGCCGGGCGGCUCCACCCACGUGGGUCUGGGUGAGCCCGGCCAGCCAACCCUCUGACAAAGGACCCGGCCCCCCAGCAGCUUCGCCCAUCUCAAGUUCACUUCCUGCCCACGUGGCUCUUCAGGCAGGUGUCUCCGGGGCAGCCUCCCUGAUGCUGUCCCAGGAUCCCGGACCCCUCGACCCUCCACUGCGUGCUGCUGCUCUCCUAUGACCCCCAAGUCCUUCGAUCAGCCUUCAAGUAGGGAGAGAGUGAGGACGCUGAGAAAGACGGGGUACCUGCAAGGAGGGUGGGGAAGUAUUUCUUGACCUGCUCCCAAAAGGUAGAAGGAAUCGCAUCCGUCUCCUGCCCGGCCCUAGGACAUACUGAUGGUGGGAAACAGCACAGGUCUUGCUGCCAGACAGGCCCCACACUCACCUGGCUGGUCUCCGAGCCACAUGACCUUGGACCAAUUGUUUAACGUGCUACACAACAGCCAUCCGCUCCCGAGCAAGCUCCUCUCCCUCGGCCUUCUGUCUCUCCCACUUCCAUUUUUUAAAACUGGCCCAGCCUGCCUCUGCCUCUCGGGCUUCCUCGCAGGGUGGUGCUAAGGUCACAGCCACCACUGCGUCUGCGACCAAAUCCCAAGGACCCUGGUUCCCAUAGUUGUUAUGCAGCCUGGAAAUCUCUGGGACGGGGGUAACCAAAGUGGGUUGUAGACAUCCGAGUUUCUCCCACUUUGUCAGCUGGGUAGACAUGAGGUCAAGGAGCGUCGAACUUUCAGGCAUCGAAUAUGAGGGUGUUUACGGUACAUCCUGACCCGACACCCGUGUGAAAGACAGAACAAGGAUAAAACUGGGGGCUGCAAAAUUCAACUGUCGUUGCAACAUUCCUCAGCUACAUAAUUGCCUUUCUGAAUGUUUUGAAGAAAAUGUAUCCGUGCGAGGCAAUGAGCCUUUUUAGAACCAUAAACUGCAUGAGAUUUUAGUGUCUUCUGGGAUUUGAGCCUUGUGUGCUCCUCAGCUAGUCUAUCCAGACUAACUGAACCUGCCCAAUUGAGCUACAAAUCUAUGAGGAUGAGUUCUUCAGGGAUUUUGCAAACAUCCUGCUUGGAGAUAAAUCAAAAAGAUUACAAAGUAGUGCUUCUCACUGUGCUUGGCUGCAAGAGACCAAGAAAUGACAAACAAGACUAGAGGCAACGUGCACAUUCUAGAACGGGGUAAAGAGCUGAUGCAAGUUCAGGAUCUGUUGUGCACAGAUGUUGCUGUCGGCUCCUGUUUAAAGAAAGUUUUCUCACCUUACAUCUGAAGGCUGAUCUUAUGUCUCCGGAAAUAGGACAGAAAUUGAGAUAUUUUCCCUAUCAACUGGCCUUCUUGCUCUACUACGAAAAUAUCCAAAGUGUUCUGGACAAAUAGUAAUUAAAGCUGCAAUUCUUUUGGAAAGGAAGACAAGUCACAGAACCCUGAAGUUAAUGGAAUUUCUCAGCACACCUGAAUCAUCAGUAUUCUGAGAUCUACCCACAGUUCAAAUUCAUGGAAUGAAGCUUUCUGAAUUUCAAAAUGCUUAUGGCCCUACCAGAAAAAAAAAAAAAAAAAAAAAAAAA